AACGCACCUUGCGCCCUUUGGCCAUUCCGAAGGGCAUGCCUGUUUGAGUAUCAUGAACACCUCAACCCUCAUGGCUUGCCAUGGUGGGCUUGGACUUUGGGGGUCUUGCUGGAUUGUGGUCAGCUCCCCUUAAAUGAAUCAGCUCGCCAGUGUUUGGUGGCAUCACAGGUGUGAUAAUUAUCUACGCUUGUGGUUUUACAUCAGGUAACCUCCAGAGAUGGGGGUUCACUGGAGCUCAUAAAGGUCUCUCCUCUGUGGGGACAACUCUUUGAAUGUUUGAUCUCAAAUCAGGUAGGACUACCCGCUGAACUUAA
This 314-nucleotide unclassified non-coding RNA is filed under the name uncultured Thelephorales. RNAcentral's name for it is "sequence contains 5.8S rRNA gene, ITS2, 28S rRNA gene". Lineage: Eukaryota; Fungi; Basidiomycota; Agaricomycetes; Thelephorales. The record is from RNAcentral.